AGGGAGGCUACCAUGCAAGUCGACGAGAAGGCGUAGCAAUACGCUUGUAAAGUGGCGAACGGGUGAGGAAUACAUGGGUAACCUACCCUCGAGUGGGGGAUAACCCGCCGAAAGGCGAGCUAAUACCGCGUACGCUUCCGAUCUUGCGGGAUUGGAAGGAAAGCCGUCCCAAGGGGAUGGCGCUCAAGGAUGGGCUCAUGUCCUAUCAGCUUGUUGGUAGGGUAACGGCCUACCAAGGCAUCGACGGGUAGCUGGUCUGAGAGGACGAUCAGCCACACUGGCACUGCGACACGGGCCAGACUCCUACGGGAGGCAGCAGUGAGGAAUAUUGCGCAAUGGGCGAAAGCCUGACGCAGCGACGCCGCGUGGGGGAUGAAGGUCUUCGGAUUGUAAACCCCUUUCGGGUGGGAAGACGGCCCUAGACAACUAGGGCGGACGGUACCACCAGAAGCAGCCACGGCUAACUUCGUGCCAGCAGCCGCGGUAAUACGAAGGUGGCAAGCGUUGUUCGGAUUUACUGGGCGUAAAGGGAGCGUAGGUGGUUAGGUAAGCCCUCCGGGAAAUCUUCAGGCUUAACCUGAAAAGGUCGGGGGGGACUGCCUGGCUAGAGGACGGGAGAGGAGCGCGGAAUUCCCGGUGUAGCGGUGAAAUGCGUAGAGAUCGGGAGGAAGGCCGGUGGCGAAGGCGGCGCUCUGGAACGUUUCUGACACUGAGGCUCGAAAGCGUGGGGAGCAAACAGGAUUAGAUACCCUGGUAGUCCACGCCCUAAACGAUGGACACUAAGUGCCGGCGGGGUACCGUCGGUGCCGCAACUAACGCAUUAAGUGUCCCCCCUGGGGAGU
RNAcentral lists this ribosomal RNA (842 nucleotides) under uncultured Nitrospira sp. Its description in RNAcentral is "bacterial SSU rRNA". It matches the Rfam family "Bacterial small subunit ribosomal RNA", at positions 41 to 881 of the family's 1533-position model. Lineage: Bacteria; Pseudomonadati; Nitrospirota; Nitrospiria; Nitrospirales; Nitrospiraceae. The record is from RNAcentral.